Anarrhichthys ocellatus (wolf-eel) is the source of this 137-nucleotide small nucleolar RNA. RefSeq annotates it as small nucleolar RNA SNORA79. The transcript has a single exon. NCBI's taxonomy places the organism in Eukaryota, Metazoa, Chordata, Actinopteri, Perciformes, Anarhichadidae. The record is from RefSeq and is a predicted model, not a curated record.
CGACGUCGGUUCCUCCUCCUGACUGAAGACUAUCAGGAGGAUUUUACGACGUCGUAGAUUAACGAGUCUGUUUCACCCAGAGAGCUUCAGGCUAAGGCCCAAUACACGGCUACCUGGUUUUGCAAGACUCAACAAAA